This 838-nucleotide ribosomal RNA is filed under the name Streptomyces sp. RNAcentral describes it as "bacterial SSU rRNA". It matches the Rfam family "Bacterial small subunit ribosomal RNA", at positions 91 to 943 of the family's 1533-position model. Lineage: Bacteria; Bacillati; Actinomycetota; Actinomycetes; Kitasatosporales; Streptomycetaceae. The record is from RNAcentral.
GUUAGUGGCGAACGGGUGAGUAACACGUGGGCAAUCUGCCCUUCACUCUGGGACAAGCCCUGGAAACGGGGUCUAAUACCGGAUAACACUCUGUCCCGCAUGGGACGGGGUUAAAAGCUCCGGCGGUGAAGGAUGAGCCCGCGGCCUAUCAGCUUGUUGGUGGGGUAAUGGCCUACCAAGGCGACGACGGGUAGCCGGCCUGAGAGGGCGACCGGCCACACUGGGACUGAGACACGGCCCAGACUCCUACGGGAGGCAGCAGUGGGGAAUAUUGCACAAUGGGCGAAAGCCUGAUGCAGCGACGCCGCGUGAGGGAUGACGGCCUUCGGGUUGUAAACCUCUUUCAGCAGGGAAGAAGCGAAAGUGACGGUACCUGCAGAAGAAGCGCCGGCUAACUACGUGCCAGCAGCCGCGGUAAUACGUAGGGCGCAAGCGUUGUCCGGAAUUAUUGGGCGUAAAGAGCUCGUAGGCGGCUUGUCACGUCGGAUGUGAAAGCCCGGGGCUUAACCCCGGGUCUGCAUUCGAUACGGGCUAGCUAGAGUGUGGUAGGGGAGAUCGGAAUUCCUGGUGUAGCGGUGAAAUGCGCAGAUAUCAGGAGGAACACCGGUGGCGAAGGCGGAUCUCUGGGCCAUUACUGACGCUGAGGAGCGAAAGCGUGGGGAGCGAACAGGAUUAGAUACCCUGGUAGUCCACGCCGUAAACGUUGGGAACUAGGUGUUGGCGACAUUCCACGUCGUCGGUGCCGCAGCUAACGCAUUAAGUUCCCCGCCUGGGGAGUACGGCCGCAAGGCUAAACUCAAGGAAUUGACAGGGGCCCGCACAAGCAGCGGAGCAUGUG